This 295-nucleotide unclassified non-coding RNA is filed under the name Hevea brasiliensis (rubber tree). The record is from RNAcentral. Lineage: Eukaryota; Viridiplantae; Streptophyta; Magnoliopsida; Malpighiales; Euphorbiaceae.
AUGCUAAGUUGGCCCCUGACAACAACUAUUGUGAUUUUGAGGAGCAUCACUGAUAUUAUCUACUUAAUGCACAUUCUUCUUCAGUUCCGAUUAGCUUAUGUUGCCCCUGAAUCUAGGGUGGUGGGCGCAGGUGACCUGGUUGACCACCCUAAAAAGAUUGCUAUAAACUAUCUCUCGGGAUACUUUGUUGUUGACUUCUUCAUCGUAUUACCACUUCCUCAGAUCAUCAUAUUGCUGAUUUUACCCAAGUCUAUAGCAUCAUCUGGGGCAAAUUACGCAAAGAAUCUACUGAGGG